This 113-nucleotide ribosomal RNA is filed under the name Ralstonia insidiosa. RNAcentral's name for it is "16S ribosomal RNA". It matches the Rfam family "Bacterial small subunit ribosomal RNA", at positions 1422 to 1533 of the family's 1533-position model. Lineage: Bacteria; Pseudomonadati; Pseudomonadota; Betaproteobacteria; Burkholderiales; Burkholderiaceae. The record is from RNAcentral.
CAGAGUAGUUAGCCUAACCGCAAGGGGGGCGAUUACCACGGCAGGGUUCAUGACUGGGGUGAAGUCGUAACAAGGUAGCCGUAUCGGAAGGUGCGGCUGGAUCACCUCCUUUA